GUGGGGAAUCUUGCGCAAUGGGCGAAAGCCUGACGCAGCCAUGCCGCGUGGAUGAUGAAGGUCUUAGGAUUGUAAAAUCCUUUCACCGGUGAAGAUAAUGACUGUAGCCGGAGAAGAAGCCCCGGCUAACUUCGUGCCAGCAGCCGCGGUAAUACGAAGGGGGCUAGCGUUGCUCGGAUUUACUGGGCGUAAAGGGCGCGUAGGCGGACAUUUAAGUCAGGGGUGAAAUCCCGGGGCUCAACCUCGGAACUGCCUUUGAUACUGGGUGUCUUGAGUAUGAGAGAGGUGUGUGGAACUCCGAGUGUAGAGGUGAAAUUCGUAGAUAUUCGGAAGAACACCAGUGGCGAAGGCGACACACUGGCUCAUUACUGACGCUGAGGCACGAAAGCGUGGGGAGCAAACAGGAUUAGAAACCCGAGUAGUCC
Molecule: ribosomal RNA, 425 nt
Filed under: uncultured bacterium
Lineage: Bacteria
Description: partial 16S ribosomal RNA
Rfam family: Bacterial small subunit ribosomal RNA
Source: RNAcentral